RNAcentral lists this ribosomal RNA (468 nucleotides) under uncultured bacterium. RNAcentral describes it as "partial 16S ribosomal RNA". It matches the Rfam family "Bacterial small subunit ribosomal RNA", at positions 28 to 507 of the family's 1533-position model. The record is from RNAcentral.
GACGAACGCUGGCGGCGUGCUUAACACAUGCAAGUCGAACGGAAAGGCCCUGCUUUUGUGGUGUGCUCGAGUGGCGAACGGGUGAGUAACACGUGAGUAACCUGCCCUUGACUUUGGGAUAACUUCAGGAAACUGGGGCUAAUACCGGAUAGGAGCUCCUGCUGCAUGGUGGGGGUUGGAAAGUUUCGGCGGUUGGGGAUGGACUCGCGGCUUAUCAGCUUGUUGGUGGGGUAGUGGCUUACCAAGGCUUUGACGGGUAGCCGGCCUGAGAGGGUGACCGGCCACAUUGGGACUGAGAUACGGCCCAGACUCCUACGGGAGGCAGCAGUGGGGAAUAUUGCACAAUGGGCGGAAGCCUGAUGCAGCAACGCCGCGUGCGGGAUGACGGCCUUCGGGUUGUAACCCGCUUUCGCCUGUGACGAAGCGUGAGUGACGGUAAUGGGUAAAGAAGCACCGGCUAACUACGUG